CCUACGGGAGGCAGCAGUGGGGAAUAUUGGGCAAUGGGCGCAAGCCUGACCCAGCAACGCCGCGUGAAGGAAGAAGGCUUUCGGGUUGUAAACUUCUUUUAAGAGGGAAGAGUAGAAGACGGUACCUCUUGAAUAAGCCACGGCUAACUACGUGCCAGCAGCCGCGGUAAUACGUAGGUGGCAAGCGUUGUCCGGAUUUACUGGGUGUAAAGGGCGUGUAGCCGGGCCGGCAAGUCAGAUGUGAAAUCCCAAGGCUCAACCUUGGAACUGCAUUUGAAACUGUUGGUCUUGAGUAUCGGAGAGGCAGGCGGAAUUCCUAGUGUAGCGGUGAAAUGCGUAGAUAUUAGGAGGAACACCAGUGGCGAAGGCAGCGUACCGGCUCCACACUGACGCUGAGGCACGAAAGCGUGGGUAUCGAACAGGAUUAGAUACCCCAGUAGUC
Molecule: ribosomal RNA, 442 nt
Filed under: uncultured bacterium
Lineage: Bacteria
Description: partial 16S ribosomal RNA
Rfam family: Bacterial small subunit ribosomal RNA
Source: RNAcentral